Molecule: long non-coding RNA, 672 nt
Filed under: Homo sapiens (human)
Lineage: Eukaryota; Metazoa; Chordata; Mammalia; Primates; Hominidae
Description: HSALNT0368593
Source: RNAcentral
AGGACAACCGGAGGCGAUUGACCGUUAUCUGCGGUUUGGAGCCGUUAGCGGGAGAGGCAGAGAUAUUCAGAGGUCUUUUAGGAUGCGCUAAAGGGUCGUGAGGGCUCUCUUAAAAUUUUCUUCACAAGCGGUUAUCCAGUCGUGCCCCGCGGCCCUGCUGCUGGCCCCGGGGAUCUGAGUCGUACCCUCUUGUUUUUCUCUGAGUCAGUCUUAAGGUGAAAUGAAGUGUGGCCCAGUGGCUCCUCACUGUCGCUUCUCUAGUUUUCUGCCUCCUUUUAGAAAAUGCUUUAAAUCUGUUUACAGUGAAUUGAAAAGACAGGAUGAAGUGGACACAGCAUGUGAAGACAAUUCUUUCAAGAAGUUUGGCUGUCAAGGAAAACAGAGAAUGUGCUAAAGAACAUACAGACACAGAGCAGACAGGCCACCUUUGCAACCACAUGGAGGUUUGUCUGAUAUUGAAGCUAAAGAAGCUAAGCUGGAAGACAGAGAGACCAAGUCCUGAUGACAUUGUUUGAACCCAGAGAUCCAGACAUGCCUGAAAACUAGUUUUACCACUGGACUUAUCCGUUGAAUGAGCCAAUAAACUCUCUUUUAUACUUAACCUUGGGUUUUACCUGGAUUUUUGUCAUUGACAGCUCAAAAUAUUCUAAUAUAGAAGUAUACAUCAUUAAA